RNAcentral lists this ribosomal RNA (445 nucleotides) under uncultured bacterium. RNAcentral describes it as "partial 16S ribosomal RNA". It matches the Rfam family "Bacterial small subunit ribosomal RNA", at positions 354 to 796 of the family's 1533-position model. The record is from RNAcentral.
GUAGGGAAUAUUGGGCAAUGGAGGCAACUCUGACCCAGCCAUGCCGCGUGCAGGAAGACGGUCCUCUGGAUUGUAAACUGCUUUUGAAUGGGAAGAACACCACCCUUGCGAGGGUGAUUGACGGUACUAUUAGAAUAAGCACCGGCUAACUCCGUGCCAGCAGCCGCGGUAAUACGGAGGGUGCAAGCGUUAUCCGGAUUUAUUGGGUUUAAAGUGUGCGUAGGCGGCUUUGUAAGUCAGAGGUUCAAGGCGGCGGCUUAACUGUACGCAUGCCUUUGAAACUGCGAAGCUUGAGAUACUUGGAGGUAGCUGGAAUUCCCUGUGUAGCGGUGAAAUGCAUAGAUACGGGGAGGAAUACCGAUUGCGAAGGCAUGUUACUACGAGUAAACUGACGCUGAUGCACGAAAGCGUGGGGAUCAAACAGGAUUAGAAACCCGUGUAGUCC